GAGCAGGACUUUGAAGACUAAGCAGAAGUUCAAAAACCAGAUAAAGCAGGAUGGAACUUUGCUAGGAGAGAAACAGUUCACGCAAAUGAUCUCAGGCAUGAAGCAGCCAGGAACUAAACAGAAUUAGCUCCGCUCUCCUUCUCCUAAAAUAGAAACUUGCAAGGACGUUGACUUUGAGGACAGGGAGUAUGCAUUUAUGAAAAACAUACUAUAUGACAAGGACUGAGCUAGUUUUUGGUUUUGUUUUUUAAACUGCAACUAUAUUACAAAUAAGAAACCGGAGUCUCAGGGUAGGAGAUUGGGGAGAACAUGGUCAUUCAUCAUGUGCUAUGGAUUUUACACACAAGCUCUCAGUUCAUCUUGAUCACUGCCCUGUGAAAUAUGAUAUUACAUCCAUUUUGCCUGAGAGACCACUGAGGUUCCAAGAGGUCAAGUAAUCUGCCAAGGAUUCCAACCCAGUUCUGUCUUACUCCAAACUCAAGGUGCUAAAUAAAAUCAGCAGAGGAUAUGACAAGACAGGAUUGCUAUCUCAAGGGACUCAAACUCCAUCUGAGGAAGAUGUAAAUACAUAAGGCACCCCAUGGGUGUCUGACGGACAUUUAAACAAAGACCCAAGGAAGCAGAGUAAUCUUAGGUGUUGCCAUUUUUUUUUAAGA
This is a long non-coding RNA of Zalophus californianus (California sea lion), 656 nucleotides long. RefSeq lists it as uncharacterized. The transcript has 3 exons. The record is from RefSeq and is a predicted model, not a curated record. Lineage: Eukaryota; Metazoa; Chordata; Mammalia; Carnivora; Otariidae.